GAUCCUGGCUCAGGAUGAACGCUAGCGGCAGGCUUAACACAUGCAAGUCGAGGGGCAGCGCGGAGUAGCAAUACUCUGGCGGCGACCGGCGAAAGGGUGAGUAACGCGUGAGCAACAUGCCCGAUAGUGGAGGAUAGUCGAUGGAAACGUCGUGUAAUACUCCGUAACAACAGAGACCGCAUGAUCUUUGUUUAAUAGAUUUAUUGCUAUCGGAUUGGCUCGCGUACCAUUAGCUAGUUGGCGGGGUAACGGCCCACCAAGGCGACGAUGGUUAGGGGUUCUGAGAGGAAGGUCCCCCACAUUGGAACUGAGACACGGUCCAGACUCCUACGGGAGGCAGCAGUGAGGAAUAUUGGACAAUGGCCGGAAGGCUGAUCCAGCCAUGCCGCGUGCGGGAAAGACGGCCCUAUGGGUUGUAAACCGCUUUUGUUGGGGAGCAAUAAGGAGCACGUGUGCUUCGAUGAGAGUACCCAGCGAAUAAGCAUCGGCUAACUCCGUGCCAGCAGCGGC
This 510-nucleotide ribosomal RNA is filed under the name uncultured bacterium. RNAcentral's name for it is "bacterial SSU rRNA". It matches the Rfam family "Bacterial small subunit ribosomal RNA", at positions 15 to 518 of the family's 1533-position model. The record is from RNAcentral.